This is a non-coding RNA of Cryptococcus depauperatus CBS 7841, 83 nucleotides long. Lineage: Eukaryota; Fungi; Basidiomycota; Tremellomycetes; Tremellales; Cryptococcaceae. The record is from Rfam.
GGAGCUGUAGUUCAGUGGUAGAAUAUCGGAUUCCAAUUAAAGGGAGUAUCCGCCGGUCGCAGGUUCAAUCCCUGUCAGCUUCA